RNAcentral lists this ribosomal RNA (508 nucleotides) under uncultured bacterium. Its description in RNAcentral is "partial 16S ribosomal RNA". It matches the Rfam family "Bacterial small subunit ribosomal RNA", at positions 28 to 507 of the family's 1533-position model. The record is from RNAcentral.
GACGAACGCUGGCGGCGUGCCUAAUACAUGCAAGUCGAACGCUUCUUUCCUCCCGAGUGCUUGCACUCAAUUGGAAAGAGGAGGGGCGGACGGGUGAGUAACACGUGGGUAACCUACCCAUCAGAGGGGGAUAACACUUGGAAACAGGUGCUAAUACCGCAUAACAGUUUAUGCCGCAUGGCAUAAGAGUGAAAGGCGCUCUCGGGGGUCGCUGCGGGAUGGACCCGCGGUGCAUUAGCUAGUUGGUGAGGUAACGGCUCACCAAGGCCACGAUGCAUAGCCGACCUGAGAGGGUGAUCGGCCACACUGGGACUGAGACACGGCCCAGACUCCUACGGGAGGCAGCAGUAGGGAAUCUUCGGCAAUGGACGAAAGUCUGACCGAGCAACGCCGCGUGAGUGAAGAAGGUUUUCGGAUCGUAAAACUCUGUUGUUAGGGAAGAACAAGGACGUUAGUAACUGAACGUCCCCUGACGGUAUCUAACCAGAAAGCCACGGCUAACUACGUG